This 740-nucleotide ribosomal RNA is filed under the name uncultured Hyphomicrobiales bacterium. RNAcentral describes it as "bacterial SSU rRNA". It matches the Rfam family "Bacterial small subunit ribosomal RNA", at positions 8 to 796 of the family's 1533-position model. The record is from RNAcentral. Lineage: Bacteria; Pseudomonadati; Pseudomonadota; Alphaproteobacteria; Hyphomicrobiales.
AGAGUUUGAUCCUGGCUCAGAACGAACGCUGGCGGCAGGCUUAACACAUGCAAGUCGAACGCACCUUCGGGUGAGUGGCAGACGGGUGAGUAACGCGUGGGAACGUGCCCUUCAGUUCGGAAUAACCCAGGGAAACUUGGGCUAAUACCGGAUACGUGCGAGAGCAGAAAGAUUCAUCGCUGAAGGAUCGGCCCGCGUCUGAUUAGCUAGCUGGUAGGGUAAUGGCCUACCAAGGCGACGAUCAGUAGCUGGUCUGAGAGGGUGAUCAGCCACAUUGGGACUGAGACACGGCCCAAACUCCUACGGGAGGCAGCAGUGGGGAAUAUUGGACAAUGGGCGCAAGCCUGAUCCAGCCAUGCCGCGUGAGUGAUGAAGGCCUUAGGGUUGUAAAGCUCUUUCGUCCGGGACGAUAAUGACGGUACCGGAAGAAGAAGCCCCGGCUAACUUCGUGCCAGCAGCCGCGGUAAUACGAAGGGGGCUAGCGUUGUUCGGAAUCACUGGGCGUAAAGGGCGCGUAGGCGGCCUGAUAAGUCGGGGGUGAAAGCCUGUGGCUCAACCACAGAAUUGCCUUCGAUACUGUCGGGCUUGAGACCGGAAGAGGUAAGUGGAACUGCGAGUGUAGAGGUGAAAUUCGUAGAUAUUCGCAAGAACACCAGUGGCGAAGGCGGCUUACUGGUCCGGUUCUGACGCUGAGGCGCGAAAGCGUGGGGAGCAAACAGGAUUAGAUACCCCGGUAGUCC